Molecule: unclassified non-coding RNA, 3051 nt
Filed under: Hevea brasiliensis (rubber tree)
Lineage: Eukaryota; Viridiplantae; Streptophyta; Magnoliopsida; Malpighiales; Euphorbiaceae
Source: RNAcentral
GCACAAACAGAUGACAAAUCAACAAGAAUGAAACAGAAUUAAGAGGCCACUCGAUACAUUUUUCCUCUUUUGUAAACCCAUGACAUAAUAAAUAAAUUAAAUAGGUUUAGUAGCACAAUGAAAUAAAUUAACAAAAAAAAAAAAACUCAUAAUAAAUUUAAAAGGAAAUAUAUUCCCUAGGAACACGUUCCAAACCAAAACCAUGAGUCAUGAAUCCUGAGAAGUAUAAAGCUGUACAAGCCUAGGCCAACUUUGACCAUAAACAUCCUUCUUGCUAUAUCGCUGGUCCCAGGACCAAGGAACAUCUGCAGAUGGGAUUAAGAAGAGUCAUACCAAUAUCAGAAGUGAAGAACACGGCAACAAUGGCGAAAAAUAAACACCUUCAGAGGAGUAUGGUUGAGGAGGUAGCUCAUAAGGCACCGGCAGUGGAAUCACUUCAGAUGAUGAAUCUACAGUUCCUUGCCACAUCAAAGUCACUAGUUUCGUCCUCAGCUCUUCAGAAUCUGCUAGUAAUCCACAUUUAUUCUGAAACCCAAACAAGCCAGCAUUUUUCUUCCUUACAUAAUCUCAUGUCAAGUGACACUCCUAAAUAUAUCAAACACGCAUAUAAAUGACAAAAAGGCCAGGAUGCAGCCACUACCUCUGAUGGAACUCCAUUGUCUGUGCAAGAAAAUCGAAGACCAUGUCUUUUACAGUGAGAUGGUAAAAAUAGCACCCCCAGCUGAGGUAAAUCACACAAGACGAGUAAAGGUUUCAAUGCUUUCAGUGUAGCAAAAAGCAGGAAACAUCAAGUGUGUGAAUAGGCAAACUGUUAAAAGAAUCCAAACAAAGAAAGUUUUCUUUUGUCGUCUGUCUAUAAUUUUCUGUAUCUCAUUCAAGCAGAAAAUGGUAUUUAGUUGAUAUUGCACAUUAAUUUUAGCGAUAAUUACACCCAGCACCCUAAACUUUGGGGGUUAUAACAAAUUGAACCUCACUCUUUUAAAGUUACAAUGUCAAUUCAGGUUCUCUUGCAUGCUUCAUUUUAAUAUGCAUACCUCAUAGGAACGAAUCAUCAACUGAGAAUUAUUCUUCUGCAAGGCCCCCCAGGCUGCUUUGCUUAGAUUUGCUGAAGUUAGCAAGAACCAACUGUUUGAACAAAUACAUAUUCAGGUUCAACAAUCAAAACUGGCAUGUAUCUAGGAGUAAUAUGAGUUUCCUAUUGGCCUAGAUAACAAUCUAACAAGAAUAUUGAACACACAAGAACCUAAUACAGUGAUAUUUAAUUCAUCAGAAAGUAAGACUUACGCAAGUUUCUGACCAUUAUAACGAGUGAAUGUCUUUAUAUGCGGCAUCGCACGACUAAAAAAUUAAAGAGCAGAGUUUAAGCAUCAAACCCAGGCACACGUGCAUAUUAGAGUAUAAGAUAAAUCCAAUUUGAUUUUGUAAUCCAAGAUUAAAAAGGAAUUCCAUGGAUAUAUACCAGCGGCCAGUGUGGUUAGCCUUCCAUUUUGACCAAUACUUUCUCAAAAAUUCUUUCUCCACAUUCUUUAAUGGGCUUGGGAUGGCAUUUCCAGCUGCAUAGCCCUCUAAAGAGCAUCUGACAUCUUCUACAGUAGGCCAUAUUAUUUGAGGCUCUCCAAGACCAAGAGGUGUUUUGUCAUCUGAGAAUCCAGAAGACAUUGAGGUAGCCAGCUCAGUCAUCCACUUUUGAUCUAGUGAACCAAGGGAAGAGAACUGAUAGGCAAGAGGAGAAUUUUUAAACUCCUUUCCAAAGGUGCAUUCCUGGAGAACACUCCGUAGCUUCAUAUGUCCCCACCUUUUCAGGUUGGCACCAGUAUGAUAUCCAGGAACAGAUGCUAUUAACCUAACUGCUGCAUUGCUAUAAUCAAACUUUUUGAAAAAGGUUGGGUUGAUAGUGAAGUUCCCAAGGGCUGGUAACUUAACGGUGAAUUCUGGCCACUUUAAUGCAUUGAGAUAAUCAACCAAGUCAUUUUCAAAUCCACAUCCUUUGCUUUGAUUCUGUUUAUCCUUCCAGGGGAAAUCUUGCAUCCACAAACCUUGGCUUUUGUUGUUCCAGUCAACAUAUAUUAAGUUUGCUGUAUGUAUAAUAAUUCUCACCCCUCGAGGAUAGACUAGAAGCAUGGCCUUUGAAUGGUGUGUCCCAAAUGAAAUGGGUAGUGGGGGUUUAUGCAGAAUCCAACUUGCAGGCUUGCUUCUCUUCAUAUGUUCAACUGUACCGUCACCCUCUCCAUGAAUAACCAAGACAUGACGAAUUUUCGCAAGUGUAGGGCAUGCUUCAUGAGAGAAAAGCAAGGUAAGGAAAAAAAAAAUUAAAGGAAAGUCAGAAUUCCAAGAAUGUGAUAUGAUUGGAAGGAACAAAGCCAAAAACACAACCAGCAAUUAGCCUGUGCUUACAAGCUGAUAAAUGAUACCACAGCAUAAGUUUACAACUGCACCAAGACCGUUAUGACUAAAGAAAUCAUGGCUGUUAGUGCAAGCACAGUAUAACUAGAAGAAAAUGAUCUACAAUGGGCAAAGUGCUAAAAGGUUUGGCAAUACAUGACAGUGAAGCAGAACAAGAAUCCAUUAUUCCAUUACCUAAAUCUACUAGUAACCUUGGAAAUUGCAAUUUUACCUAUAGAACUACCAUUAAUUACUGGACCUCUACUUAGAAAUGAUGGAUUACCUAACCAUGCUGAUGUGCAUACAUUCACAAAUGCGUAUCCCUGUGUACAAAUGAAACACUCAUCAAAGCCAGCAAUAGAAUGCAAAUGGUUUAUCUGAAUCCUUGGCUCCUCUCUCACCAGCAGACAUCAACCAAUCAACGUCCACCAUGUAGUUUGAAAGGAUAGCAACAAGAAUAUCCCCCUGAAUCACAUCGGUUAUAGAAACGCAAGAGGUAUUUGCCCAAGCUGGCAGCCCUUGCACUUUCAAAAGCCGGAAGGUCAAUGGCAAAUUAUCAUUAGGAACACGAAAUUUACGAAUGUCCUUUUCACAAAUUACUGGUCCACUAUUCUCUGCCUCAUUCUUAUUAGCAGCUUUGGCUUGAUCUUCAGGUGCUUCUCGCAUCUU